AGUAUCUCAAAAGCCUAUGCCUAUUUUGUGGCGUGGGACUUUUGGACAAUGGGAGUUGCCGGUCACUGAUGAAAGUGGCGGGCUCUUCUGAAAAGUAUUAGUUGAGGAGCUUUGCACUCUAUUGGUGUGAUAGACUAUCUAUGCCAGGAGACGCUUUAUGAUCCUCUGCUGUCUAACUGUCUUUAUUGGACAAACAUGAUGAAC
This 204-nucleotide unclassified non-coding RNA is filed under the name uncultured Amanita. RNAcentral's name for it is "sequence contains ITS2". The record is from RNAcentral. Lineage: Eukaryota; Fungi; Basidiomycota; Agaricomycetes; Agaricales; Amanitaceae.